This 480-nucleotide ribosomal RNA is filed under the name uncultured bacterium. Its description in RNAcentral is "SSU rRNA". It matches the Rfam family "Bacterial small subunit ribosomal RNA", at positions 26 to 518 of the family's 1533-position model. The record is from RNAcentral.
AGGACGAACGCUGGCGGCGUGCCUCAUACAUGCAAGUGGAGCGACGAACCAGGAUUUAUCCUGGGGCAAAGCCGCGAACGGGUGAGUAACACGUGGGUUACCUGCCCCGAUGAUUGGGACAACCCGAGGAAACUCGGGCUAAUACCAAAUGUGUUCCUGGUCGUGAUGACCAAGAAGAAAGGAAGCCUCGGCCUCCGCAUCGGGAUGGGCCCGCGGCCCAUUAGCUAGUUGGUGGGGUAAUGGCCUACCAAGGCGACGAUGGGUAGCUGGUCUGAGAGGACGAUCAGCCACACUGGGACUGAGACACGGCCCAGACUCCUACGGGAGGCAGCAGUCGGGAAUUUUGCUCAAUGGACGAAAGUCUGAAGCAGCAACGCCGCGUGAGGGAUGAAGGCCUUCGGGUUGUAAACCUCUUUUAUCAGGGACGAUAAUGACGGUACCUGAUGAAUAAGUCACGGCUAACUACGUGCCAGCAGCCGC